UGUCACUUGAGAGAGCCGCAACAACUGGUGGGUUGUCUCGUCUCGUCCGGCUAAAGCCUCCAAACUCAAGCAAAAAUCAUUGUUGUUGAGAUAAUCAUACUAUCAAUAUCAGAAAUUUAUAAUUGUUAGGACUGGGGCUUGAAGCCCGUAUGGUUAGAGGCCCAUGAUGCCCCUUUACAGGCCAAAACACCACCUGCCUUUAACAUUAAGUUCUUUGGGUUUGAAUCUCUGGUUACAUUGUUCAUGGUGUCCUAGUGCUGUUAUUGCUAUAAUAGCUACUAUGUUCCAGGCAUUGUGCCCUCCUUGAGUGUGGAUUGCAUAAUGCCUUCUGGGGUUGUGAUUUGGAUCUGGUUUUCUGGGUAGAAGUCUGGUUAUUCUCUCAGCUGGAGCCUGGUAAUGUACAUAGAUUGUGUAUUUUUUUUUCAAGUGCUAUUUUAUAAAUUAUAUAUGCAAGCCCAAUUUAAUUGAAUAUUUGUCGAUUCCCCUUCAUAUCUAAUAUUUUGUAGGCUUAGCUGGAUUAAUCUCUUACAUCCCUUAAUAGUUAGAUUAAUGUAUGAUUUCCAAGUACCUUCAAACACAAGCUACUCCACCCUUAGCAAACCAUAUCGGUAGAUGUUUCCUCUUUAGAACUUUGGAUGGCCAUUGGUUAAUUUGUGUGCCAAUUAAAACCUUGUCUGAUAAUAUUAGUUGCUCAAUUGAUUUUAUACAUGGUUUCAUAAAAAUUGGAUUUGAAUCAUUGAGUGUUGCUAGUACAAAGUGAGUUAUCUUAUUAUGUGUUAUUAUAUGACUUAUAUAUUAUAAAUUUAUAUUUAUAUGAUUGUUUUUUUUUUUGAAUGAAUUGGGUUCAAGGAGUACAAUAAAAUCUAUCACUCGAAUAUUCUGAGAACCUAAUUGACCAAUCUCAAAUUGAAUUAAUUUUGGAUUUGUUGUUUAAGUCCAUAGAAUAUACAAGUUGUCGACAUUAAAAUAUUUCAUCUAUUAUACUAGUUGUCAACAUUAGUUACAUUAGUCAUGUCAAUGGAAUAUACGAGUUUGGGUUGAAAGAGCACAGCAUAAUCUAUCACUCGUAGAUUCAAUGAACUAGACUAAUUUAUUCAAGAUUAUUUAGCAAGCAAGGAUUGAGCAUAUUGUUACGAAGUCCCUAUUUGUUCAAUAAUCUCGAAUGGGUAAGUCAAGUUAUAGAAUAUACGAACUGUCAAUAUUGAAAUCUUUGAAUGGAAAAUAGAUAAAGACUACAAAAUGAGUGCUUUUGUAAAACAUGUGUUUUGUUGUCUUUGCAUGUUUUUUAUUCAAGAUGAGUGCUUCUGUCGAAGGUUAAUUUUCAUUUUCUCCAAUUAGCAUGAUUUUUAAAUUUCAUUCUUUUUGUUCUCAUAGUAUUAGUAUGUAAGAUCAUCUUUUGAGUUGACUAAUGAUCUUCCUUGUCGACUGAUGAUCUUCCUUCUCAAUUAAUUGGGAAUUAUAUUUUUGAACCGCACUUAUCAAACAUGAUCAAAUUGAAAGGAAUGGUCUUUUCAAUGUAAUUAUAUUUAAUUCAAGUAGUUCAGAAAUAGAAUAUUCACAGUCGAAGAUUUUCAAUCGACUAAGAAAGUAUCUUAUAUACUAAUAUUAUAAACAUAGGGACAUUUGAUUACUUUAACUUUUAAUGAACUUAAAGUCUGGCGCCCAGUAACUUCUCAAUUGAGUGAUGUGGUUGGUAAUUCACGUCGAAUCUUCACCAAAGUAGUUGGCGAACCCUUAUGACGAAAGGAUGAUACUAGUAGAUAGAUUGUUAUUUUUUUUUCAUUGGAUUCUUUAUAUUC
This is a long non-coding RNA of Theobroma umbraticum, 1799 nucleotides long. RefSeq lists it as uncharacterized. Lineage: Eukaryota; Viridiplantae; Streptophyta; Magnoliopsida; Malvales; Malvaceae. The record is from RefSeq and is a predicted model, not a curated record.